AGCGAACGCUGGCGGUAGGCCUAACACAUGCAAGUCGAACGGCAGCACAGUAAGAGCUUGCUCUUACGGGUGGCGAGUGGCGGACGGGUGAGGAAUACAUCGGAAUCUACUUUUUCGUGGGGGAUAACGUAGGGAAACUUACGCUAAUACCGCGUACGACCUACGGGUGAAAGCAGGGGAUCUUCGGACCUUGCGCGAUUGAAUGAGCCGAUGUCGGAUUAGCUAGUUGGCGGGGUAAAGGCCCACCAAGGCGACGAUCCGUAGCUGGUCUGAGAGGAUGAUCAGCCACACUGGAACUGAGACACGGUCCAGACUCCUACGGGAGGCAGCAGUGGGGAAUAUUGGACAAUGGGCGCAAGCCUGAUCCAGCCAUACCGCGUGGGUGAAGAAGGCCUUCGGGUUGUAAAGCCCUUUUGUUGGGAAAGAAAAGCAGCAGGUUAAUACCCCGCUGUUCUGACGGUACCCAAAGAAUAAGCACCGGCUAACUUCGUG
RNAcentral lists this ribosomal RNA (492 nucleotides) under uncultured bacterium. RNAcentral's name for it is "partial 16S ribosomal RNA". It matches the Rfam family "Bacterial small subunit ribosomal RNA", at positions 29 to 507 of the family's 1533-position model. The record is from RNAcentral.